GUACACAAAAAUGCACAUGCUGUGAGCUCGAUGAGUAGGGCGGGACACGUGGUAUCCUGUCUGAAUAUGGGGGGACCAUCCUCCAAGGCUAAAUACUCCUGACUGACCGAUAGUGAACCAGUACCGUGAGGGAAAGGCGAAAAGAACCCCGGCGAGGGGAGUGAAAAAGAACCUGAAACCGUGUACGUACAAGCAGUGGGAGCCCUGAUUUAUCAGGGUGACUGCGUACCUUUUGUAUAAUGGGUCAGCGACUUAUAUUCUGUAGCAAGGUUAACCGAAUAGGGGAGCCGGAGGGAAACCGAGUCUUAACUGGGCGUUAAGUUGCAGGGUAUAGACCCGAAACCCGGUGAUCUAGCCAUGGGCAGGUUGAAGGUUGGGUAACACUAACUGGAGGACCGAACCGACUAAUGUUGAAAAAUUAGCGGAUGACUUGUGGCUGGGGGUGAAAGGCCAAUCAAACCGGGAGAUAGCUGGUUCUCCCCGAAAGCUAUUUAGGUAGCGCCUCGUGAAUUCAUCUCCGGGGGUAGAGCACUGUUUCGGCAAGGGGGUCAUCCCGACUUACCAACCCGAUGCAAACUGCGAAUACCGGAGAAUGUUAUCACGGGAGACACACGGCGGGUGCUAACGUCCGUCGUGAAGAGGGAAACAACCCAGACCGCCAGCUAAGGUCCCAAAGUCAUGGUUAAGUGGGAAACGAUGUGGGAAGGCCCAGACAGCCAGGAUGUUGGCUUAGAAGCAGCCAUCAUUUAAAGAAAGCGUAAUAGCUCACUGGUCGAGUCGGCCUGCGCGGAAGAUGUAACGGGGCUAAACCAUGCACCGAAGCUGCGGCAGCGACGCUGAUGCGUUGUUGGGUAGGGGAGCGUUCUGUAAGCCUGUGAAGGUGUGCUGUGAGGCAUGCUGGAGGUAUCAGAAGUGCGAAUGCUGACAUAAGUAACGAUAAAGCGGGUGAAAAGCCCGCUCGCCGGAAGACCAAGGGUUCCUGUCCAACGUUAAUCGGGGCAGGGUGAGUCGACCCCUAAGGCGAGGCCGAAAGGCGUAGUCGAUGGGAAACAGGUUAAUAUUCCUGUACUUGGUGUUACUGCGAAGGGGGGACGGAGAAGGCUAUGUUGGCCGGGCGACGGUUGUCCCGGUUUAAGCGUGUAGGCUGGUUUUCCAGGCAAAUCCGGAGAAUCAAGGCUGAGGCGUGAUGACGAGGCACUACGGUGCUGAAGCAACAAAUGCCCUGCUUCCAGGAAAAGCCUCUAAGCAUCAGGUAACAUCAAAUCGUACCCCAAACCGACACAGGUGGUCAGGUAGAGAAUACCAAGGCGCUUGAGAGAACUCGGGUGAAGGAACUAGGCAAAAUGGUGCCGUAACUUCGGGAGAAGGCACGCUGAUGGUA
Molecule: ribosomal RNA, 1381 nt
Filed under: Escherichia albertii
Lineage: Bacteria; Pseudomonadati; Pseudomonadota; Gammaproteobacteria; Enterobacterales; Enterobacteriaceae
Description: partial 23S ribosomal RNA
Rfam family: Bacterial large subunit ribosomal RNA
Source: RNAcentral